Molecule: long non-coding RNA, 901 nt
Organism: Pseudopipra pipra
Lineage: Eukaryota; Metazoa; Chordata; Aves; Passeriformes; Pipridae
Exons: 3
Source: RefSeq, a predicted model, not a curated record
GCUGCCCAUUGAUACCUUUAAGCUAAAAAUGAGAUGAUUUUUAAACGUAAGAAAAUGUAUUAUUUGAAAAGUACUUUCAGUAGAGGUAACAGGACAGAAACAAUAAUUACCGUUAGGAUGGAGCUCUUCACAUUUCCAAAAAGAGCAAACCGAUGUGGUAGUGUUUGCAACAUGGGACAAGAUCUGAUGGCCAGGAAGUUCCAUCGGUCCUAUGUGGUGUGCUCUAGACUAACCCCAGGUUCUGGCAGCAGAGUUGCUAUGAAGCUCUGACGUGAGUAACAGGACUUUAAGGAAAAAUAGAAAGUGUCCAUCCUUGCUGGUGGCCUGAAGCCACCUGAAAAAACUGGAGGAAAAUCAGAUGAGCUCUGAUGUGAGUUGAAAAAAAUCUUCAAUCAAGAACAAAAAUCCGUUAGAUCUGCAGACCCUGAUAGACAAGAACCUGUUGCAGAGGUGGGCAGGAGCUGAGAUGUGUAACAAUGCAUUUAUAUGAAAGACGAGAACAUGAGCACAUGAACAAGGAGAAGAGUUUCAGUGCCUUGGUGAAUGCUGAAUGCCUGAGGCAUAGGCAUUGUAAACAUACCGAGUAUUGGAGCAAGUGAUAUACAGUGACUUGGAAAAACAGACAGAGACACAGAUAAAUACAAGGCAUUAAUAGAGCUGAUUGUUUGCAAGACGUGAGACAAAUAAGUGAUUUUCAGAAGAGUGAGGAGAUAGUUUUGUGUCAAAUAGCAAAUUUGCUAAGAUUGCAACUUAUGGCCAUAAAAUGCAAGCAAAAUAAAAUGCAAAAUACAAACUCAAAACCAACUGGUUUUAAUCACAUCUCAGAAAAAGAAGUCAUCAGACCAAACUUUCACUGUAAGUGUGGUCAAUAAAAUAGUUAAAAGUAUAAACUUCUGAAAAA